UUUUUUCUUUUCUUUUUUUUUUUUUUAAAUCAGGCUGCCAGGUCCCAGUAGGUAGGUAGCUACUGGGUUACUGAAGGCAGGUCAGCAGAAUUGCCUGUACACUAACUCUAGGGACUCAGUCCUGGGGACUAAUUUGGUGAUGGGGUAGGCCCAGAGCCAGAGUAUACCAGGCAGAUCUGCAGCCUAAAAAUAUGUCCCUAAACACACAAGCUUGAUCCAUGGGCACUGGCAUACUCAGAUGCCUCUCCUCAUUCUAGGUUUUCCUGGAUUGGCCUCCACAUUGGGAUUUGAGGCAAUGGCUAGGCAGAGGACAUUUCUCACUGUGCUGCUUGGCAUUGUGGGAUGAGUGACACGAGUGAUGCCAAACUCUCCUUCCUCUUCUGCUUAACUACCCUCUACUGCCAUACCCAGGUUCUGUAAUCUCACCUGGCUUCUUACUAAGGUUUGCAAAGGUACUUUUGUGUGGUUGGUCUAAUUGACAGGUUUUACAAAGUUCCAUUUUACCAUCUUGCUGAUGUCAGGACUUGAUUGUUUUUUGAGACACCCUCCUUGUCAUUUGUAUGUAUAUGCUGUUACUUUCCUCUUUUUAGUUUUUUCAUUCUCUCUAAUGCUUUCUAAUUCAAAAUAAUCUUGAUUUUUAAAAUCACAGUUAUAUUUGAUUGUCAUCUUUUAGUUUUAUAUGCAGUACACUUAAUCAGUGUCUCAUGCUAUAAAGACUUAAAGCAUUUAAUUGUAUGAUUUGUUACAUGGCUCGUAUUUAUCAAAAUGGACUGCUCAUAUUGACAAGCUCUUUGUGAGAUAAGCUUUUCUCAUUUGGGGUUAUAGCUAAAAGUUGUCCUGGUAUGAGCCUCAUGCACACUAGAAAUACUUUGGUCUGGUGUAUUGUGCUUGAAUGCCCACUAGAUGUCACUGUUGGCUUUUACUUUGUAGCCCUAUUUUCUAGUCAUCAGCUGAAGGCUUCGACUGUAGCUGCCUUAGUUGUAGUUUUUUUCCUAGAAUGUAUUCACAUUGAAAAACUCUUUGAUGCAUUUUGGGAAGUGUAAAUCCUCAUACAAGAUCUCUGUGUAUAUGAAGAUGUCUUGUAUUUUCUUGUAAGUUGGAUAGUACAAAAUUCUUUUGAGAGGCUAAUAGGAGAAACUUUAAAUGAUGUUUGGAGCUUGGGGUAUACCUGGUCUUUGCUUCUUUUAUUUAAAUGCUGGAACAUUAGCUGUUUGGAACAGGAGGUCUUAUAGGUAGCUUAUUAGUUGUCUCGUCUAUAUUUAUGUAUGGUGAUGACAUGGCCUCAUGGUACCAGGUAUUCCUAAGGAUUGCCAGGUGAGGCUCAACUAUUUUCCUGAAUAACUUUACUAUGUGUUUUGUAUAGUUCUCACUAAAGAAUCACAAAUUUUGGAUGUUCUUUUAAUUUGUACUUUCAAUUAUACAUCUUUAGGUAAUUUAUUAUAUUUACUUUUAUCUUUUAUAUGUUCAAAAAGUUUCAGGUAAUAUUUUGUGAGAUGAAGUAGAUCAUAAUUUUUAAAAAAACAUUUCUCCAACACUUGUCUUUCAUUUAAAAAGAGAGAAGUCUGUGAAUUCAGAUACUAAGAAGUAAUUAAGACACUGAACUUUUAUGAGGGUUUUGGAGCCUUCCUUUCAUAAGUUAUAGGAUUGCUUUAACUGAACGAAAAGUCAUUCUUUUAUAUUUCCCAUGGAUUCUGUCUGUGAGGGGCUUUAGUACGUACUGAAGUAUUUUAGUAGGGUUCCUUUCUCUUUUUCUAGAAAGUAUGUGUCUGCUUAAACUAUUUUAAAUAUUCAUUUUCUAUAACCUCACUGUCGUGAAGUAGUAACUUAAGAUUUGAAGGUGAGAAGAACAAAUGACUGCCUUAACAUGAUCUUCCUUCACUUCAGUUAUGGAGUGUAGCUAGACCUUUGUUAUCACUGCUGAGGACUCUCCAGAAGGAUCUCCAUGAUUCAGCAAUGUGUGCUUGAUUCUGUAUAACUGAGGGGGUUGAAAAUGAACUUUCUAUUGAUAGAACGUUGACUUGGGCCAAAUUGAGCUUUCUUUCUUUUCUUUUUUUUUCCAACAGAUUUUAUUUAAGUAUAUGCCACCCACUUUAUUUUUAAAGAUUUGCAAUUUUUUAUUUAAGGAAAUUUUAUAAGGCAUUAAGAUUCUAUAAGCAAAAAUUGUAUAUACAAAAGAGAUUCUCUAGACAGAAGUGAGAAUUUUUUAUUUCAGUCUUUGUUUUAAUUUCCUUUCUGCUGUAUCAUUGCAUCUGUGUCUUUCAGGUUUACUGAUAUUCAGGAAGAGCUUGCAAAAAAAGGCACUGUUGUUGAAUUUUAAAAUCUUUUGGGUUUUGUUGUUGUUGUUGUUGUUUUUCAAAACAGGGUUUCUUUGUGAAUAUAGCCCCUGGUUAUCCUGGAGCUUACUCUGUAGACGAAACUGGCCUCAAACUCAGAGAUCCAUCCGCCUCUGCUUGUCUCCUGAGUGUUGGGAUUAAAGGUGUAUGCUACGACUGCUUAGUAAAUCUUUUGUAUUUUAACAUUAUGUUUUGCUUAGUAUUUUUUCUCUGUGAAAGGAAAAUAAUAUGUUAAGAUUUUUCUUGUCUAAAUAACAAAGAAUACUAGAGUUGAUUUAACUACUUAAACAUUUUAGAAAAUAUUCAACAACACCUAACAAUUUGUUAAUUAUAUCUCUUUUAAAAACUGUUGUAGAACUUUUUGUGCUUAAUAGGAAACUGAUAUGUAAUUUCUUAUACAUACCUUGAAGGCACUCAAAGUUGUUUCUAAACUCUUGUGAGAAAAACAGCUUGCAGCCAAGUGGUGGUGGCACAUGCCUUUAAUCCCAGAACUGAGGGAGAGGCAGGCAGAUUUUUGAGUUUGAGAUCAGCCUGGUCUAUAGAGAUUUCCAGGACAGCCAGGGCUACAUAGAGAAAAGCUGUCUUAAAACUUACUCCACCCCCAACAAAACAAAACAAAAAAAUCAAAACAAACAAAAAACAAAAAGAGAAAAGAGAAAAGAAAG
This 2998-nucleotide long non-coding RNA is filed under the name Mus musculus (house mouse). RNAcentral describes it as "long non-coding RNA chr8:79733598-79736596". The record is from RNAcentral. Lineage: Eukaryota; Metazoa; Chordata; Mammalia; Rodentia; Muridae.